GAAAUGCGAUAAGUAAUGUGAAUUGCAGAAUUCAGUGAAUCAUCGAAUCUUUGAACGCACAUUGCGCCCGCCAGCACUCUGGCGGGCAUGCCUGUUCGAGCGUCAUUUCAACCCUCAGAACCCCUUGCGGGAUCUGGCGUUGGGGAUUGGCAUCCAGCCAGCCCCGAAAUCUAGUGGCAGUCCCUCCGCGACCUCCCCUGUGCAGUAGCGAUACCUCGCAGCGGGACAGCGGUCUGACCACGCCGUAAAACCCCCAACUUCUCAAGGUUGACCUCGAAUCAGGUAGGAAUACCCGCUGAACUUAAGA
Molecule: unclassified non-coding RNA, 307 nt
Filed under: plant metagenome
Description: partial contains 5.8S ribosomal RNA, internal transcribed spacer 2, and large subunit ribosomal RNA
Rfam family: 5.8S ribosomal RNA (bases 1-105)
Source: RNAcentral